AGAGGGUUAGUAUAAUAAUACCAUUGACUUAGGAUCAAUAAAUAAGUAAUCCUUACUCUCUAC
Molecule: transfer RNA, 63 nt
Filed under: Anodonta anatina
Lineage: Eukaryota; Metazoa; Mollusca; Bivalvia; Unionida; Unionidae
Description: tRNA-Leu
Source: RNAcentral